CAGUAGCCGCGGUAACACAGAGGGUGCGAGCGUUAAUCGGAUUUACUGGGCGUAAAGCGUGCGUAGGCGGCUUCUUAAGUCGGAUGUGAAAUCCCUGAGCUUAACUUAGGAAUUGCAUUCGAUACUGGGAAGCUAGAGUAUGGGAGAGGAUGGUAGAAUUCCAGGUGUAGCGGUGAAAUGCGUAGAGAUCUGGAGGAAUACCGAUGGCGAAGGCAGCCAUCUGGCCUAAUACUGACGCUGAGGUACGAAAGCAUGGGGAGCAAACAGGAUUAGAGACCCCAGUAGUCCCUGUCUCUUAUAC
Molecule: ribosomal RNA, 301 nt
Filed under: uncultured bacterium
Lineage: Bacteria
Description: partial 16S ribosomal RNA
Rfam family: Bacterial small subunit ribosomal RNA
Source: RNAcentral